Lyophyllum atratum is the source of this 99-nucleotide non-coding RNA. The record is from the annotation of a GenBank genome assembly. Lineage: Eukaryota; Fungi; Basidiomycota; Agaricomycetes; Agaricales; Lyophyllaceae.
GGGCACAUGGUGUAGUUGGUUAUCACGCCCGCUUUGCAUUCGACCUGAUUUGAACUGCUCAGCUGCGGGUGGUCCUCGGUUCAAUUCCGGGUGUGUCCA